This 477-nucleotide ribosomal RNA is filed under the name Shigella sonnei. RNAcentral's name for it is "partial 23S ribosomal RNA". It matches the Rfam family "Bacterial large subunit ribosomal RNA", at positions 474 to 952 of the family's 2925-position model. The record is from RNAcentral. Lineage: Bacteria; Pseudomonadati; Pseudomonadota; Gammaproteobacteria; Enterobacterales; Enterobacteriaceae.
UCCUGACUGACCGAUAGUGAACCAGUACCGUGAGGGAAAGGCGAAAAGAACCCCGGCGAGGGGAGUGAAAAAGAACCUGAAACCGUGUACGUACAAGCAGUGGGAGCACGCUUAGGCGUGUGACUGCGUACCUUUUGUAUAAUGGGUCAGCGACUUAUAUUCUGUAGCAAGGUUAACCGAAUAGGGGAGCCGAAGGGAAACCGAGUCUUAACUGGGCGUUAAGUUGCAGGGUAUAGACCCGAAACCCGGUGAUCUAGCCAUGGGCAGGUUGAAGGUUGGGUAACACUAACUGGAGGACCGAACCGACUAAUGUUGAAAAAUUAGCGGAUGACUUGUGGCUGGGGGUGAAAGGCCAAUCAAACCGGGAGAUAGCUGGUUCUCCCCGAAAGCUAUUUAGGUAGCGCCUCGUGAAUUCAUCUCCGGGGGUAGAGCACUGUUUCGGCAAGGGGGUCAUCCCGACUUACCAACCCGAUGCAA